UGUGAGCAGCACCACACAUCCCAGUGGUGACUCGAGGACUGAAGGAAAGGGACAGAGUCAGGGCCCUGCUGACACCCACGUUCCAGGACCCUAUCUGCUCCCGUCUUGUUAGAUGUCAAGCCCAAGUUCUGCCAAGAUGGAAGCAAGAGCACCACACCCUCCCGACUAUCUCAGCAUUUCCAGGGAACUUCCCUGGAGGUUCAGCACUCAGGAGGAGCCUUCUCUUUCCCCCUCCUGCCUGAUGCCUCAAGUCAACCCUCAGCUCAUCUGCCCCGUUUGGAUCUGGGUCUGCCCGCCCGUGGCAUCUGUAGCUGUGAAUCACGGCUCUGCCUCUCCUGAGUGUCAUUACACCUGGCUGGAUGAAUGAUGCACAUCUGUACAGCAUCUCCUAGUAAGAUAAUGGGAAGCUUCUUCCUUAGACCCUAGAUGUCAACAUCCCAAGAAUAAGGUCUCUGUUUGGGUUAAAUAUUUA
RNAcentral lists this long non-coding RNA (472 nucleotides) under Chinchilla lanigera (long-tailed chinchilla). Its description in RNAcentral is "lncRNA (ENSCLAG00000027940.1)". The record is from RNAcentral. Lineage: Eukaryota; Metazoa; Chordata; Mammalia; Rodentia; Chinchillidae.